CUGUAUGACUUGAAAGUUGAAAGUUGAAACCUUGUCAACAAGGAUGAUCUUCCUGUUCAUCUUCAAAACUUUCUCAAAGUGAGGGAACGAUAGUGCUAACAUGCUGCUCAGCGGAAUUUUCACUCCGACCUCCUUUACAAGUGCAAAACGUGGUCUGAUUCUCUGUUCCAAACUGUAACUAAAAUACUGACGGAACUUAACCAGCUCAGAUUUUGAAUAACCCAUUGUUAAAUAGAAUUUCCAUUUCGGUAUCAAGUUCUCCGUCAAGCUAGGUUUUUAUUUUAGGUUUCAGUUUGGGUUCUUGAAGAUGGCAAUGAAGACCCUUUCUGGAAGCCGCUCUUCUGACCCGUCAUCUCUCUGCAGAGGAGCUUUCUACAUCACUAGGACUUGACUUACUUCUCCUGAGGAAUUCUUCUCUUGCCGAGGAAUAAGUUUUUCUAGUAGUAUCUCGACCUUCUUACAAAAGCUAAAUUACAGAUAUUAACAUGUUUCUUUCCUCUUUGUGGUAUUAACUUGAUGGUGUUUUGAUAUAAGAACAGCUGAUUCUCGUGCAAAUGAAUCAUUCAACUCAAGAGUGCAUCCUCCAACGCUGUUAGUAGCUGAGAAAAAAGAAGCCAAGUCUGUUUUAAGCUUGUUCUUGAUGCAGCAAGGUCUGAGCAAGGCAGCUGCCGCAAGAACCAUCAAUAAAUCAGAUCAUUUCAUCGACCACCUUAUCUCAAGGCUUCACUCUGCUCAUAAAUCUCGGUAUCUUGUAGGAAGAGAGCUCACGACUUUUGAGAUUAGGGACACCCUUAAUCCUUAUCUUCAAUCACUUCUUGAAGGGCAUGGAAAUUUUAUGGUAGAUUUAGUGAACAACUUUCCUACCACACCUAUCGAAGAAAAGCCAGCUGUGCUAGUUUGUAGAUCCCAUUCCAGCCUUGAUCCAAGAAGCCAGAAGCAUUCUCUCAUGUAAGCGCCCCAAGUCCAAUAGCAGAUCUAUGCCGUCAACUGUGCUACCUCUUAGAGCUUGGCAUGGAUCUUGAGCAGAUCAAGUAGCCACACACAGAUAUCCUAAUUUUGCCUACUGCAGCUUGGAGGGCAAAAUCAAACCACUAGUUGAGUUUCUUCUUGAUCUUGGGGUACCUAAAUCAGACACUCCUACUAUUAUCAGAAAAAUGCCUUCUUUAUGUGGACAUAGUCCAUCUAAAAAAAUAAAACCCAGCAUAAUAUACUUUGAAGAUUUGUGUGUGGGCAAAAGUCAUAUGUCGCUGCCCUGGACUCCUCUGUCAUAGUAGGCAGAAAAGGUUCAGGCAGUAGUUAAUUGCCUUCAUGAGUUGAGCUUAUCAGGUGAUAGCAUAGGUAAGGUCUUCACUCGGUUCCCAAGAAUUGUAACUUGCAGUGUGGAAGACUAUCUCAAGCCUUUGAACUAUUUUUUCUAUGAAUGGGGAUUCAGUGUGGAAGAAGUGAGGUCCAUGGUGUCAACAUUUCCAUCUGUAUAUUCUUACAUCUUGAUACCGAAAUGGGAGUUCUUUUUGACCAUGGGUUAUUCAAAGUUGACAUUGUUAAAGUUCCCUCAGUAUUUUAGUUACAGUUUGGAACAGAGAAUCAGACCACAUUUUGCACUCGUCAAGGAGUUAGGAGUGAAAAUCGGGGUGGAUGGCAUGUUAGUACGAUCACACUGUGACUUUGAGAAAGUUUUGAAGAUGAAUAGGAAGAACAUCCUUGUUGACAAGUGGUCUCUAAAAUUUUAAUUUAUUUAAAAAAUACCCCAAAAAUUACAAUUAGUCUCUAAAAUUUU
Long non-coding RNA from Pistacia vera, 1777 nucleotides. RefSeq lists it as uncharacterized. The record is from RefSeq and is a predicted model, not a curated record. The transcript has 3 exons. NCBI's taxonomy places the organism in Eukaryota, Viridiplantae, Streptophyta, Magnoliopsida, Sapindales, Anacardiaceae.